RNAcentral lists this ribosomal RNA (484 nucleotides) under uncultured bacterium. RNAcentral's name for it is "partial 16S ribosomal RNA". It matches the Rfam family "Bacterial small subunit ribosomal RNA", at positions 30 to 507 of the family's 1533-position model. The record is from RNAcentral.
AUUGAACGCUGGCGGCAGGCCUAACACAUGCAAGUCGAGCGGAUGAAGGGAGCUUGCUCCUGGAUUCAGCGGCGGACGGGUGAGUAAUGCCUAGGAAUCUGCCUGGUGGUGGGGGAUAACGUCCGGAAACGGGCGCUAAUACCGCAUACGUCCUGAGGGAGAAAGUGGGGGAUCUUCGGACCUCACGCUAUCAGAUGAGCCUAGGUCGGAUUAGCUAGUUGGUGGGGUAAAGGCCUACCAAGGCGACGAUCCGUAACUGGUCUGAGAGGAUGAUCAGUCACACUGGAACUGAGAAACGGUCCCGACUCCUACGGGAGGCAGCAGUGGGGAAUAUUGGACAAUGGGCGAAAGCCUGAUCCAGCCACGCCGCGUGUGUGAAGAAGGUCUUCGGAUUGUAAAGCACUUUAAGUUGGGAGGAAGGGCAGUAAGUUAAUACCUUGCUGUUUUGACGUUACCAACAGAAUAAGCACCGGCUAACUUCGUG